UUUUUUUUUUUUUUUAAAGAAAAGGACAAAGUGACACAGAAAAUUGACUCCUUAUUGAGCUGGCACUGUUGGGGAACUAGGUGCUCUCCAAAGAUGAUGCGCUUUCAAGAGCAAUUUUUUCUUCUUUGUCUGUCUUUUAGGGCCACACCGGUGGCACAGGGAGGUCCCCAGGCUAGGGGUCCAGUCGGAGCUGUAGCCGCCGGCCUACACCACAGCCACAGCCACGCGGGAUCCAAGCAGCGUCUGCGACCUACACCACAGCUCAGGGCAAUGCUGGAUCCUUAACCCGCUGAGCGAGGCCAGGGAUCGAACCCUCGUCCUCACGGAUGCUAGUCGGGGUCGUCAACCAUGGAGCCACGACGGGAACUCCCCAAGAGCAAUUUUUGUAUUCUGAAGAUGUCCACUCUUUCUAAAACACACUCUCUAAACUUGUCAAUCCGAAUCUAAGCCAUCACGAUUAUUUAAUGCUGCUCCCAUUAGACUAGUGCCCUCAAGGGUUAGAGAGGCCCUGCUGUUCAGCUUCUGGCCCCCCAACCUGUUUCAUCUCUCGCUCCUCUCCCAUGUGCAGUCCUGCCAUCCCUUCCCCUGACCCAACCAGCACUGCUUGCCACACUUCUAAUCGGCCUUGGCCUGGGAGGCCAGGUAACCUAAGCUUUUUUUUUUUAACUAACCUAAGCUUUUUAUCUUCACACAUUUAAACCCUAUCUACCUCAUUUGAUCUGAAGUGCCUCAAAACAGCUGGAUUCUCUGGUUUUAAAGUAGCUCUUAGAAUCCCCAGCACCUAGCAUUCUGUUCCUGGGUAGGAGAGCUCUUCCAUCAAUGGAUGCGGAUGAUAAACUUUCUGCAGCGCCUUUUCUUCAAGUAGAAUGCAUAUGGGCUUUAUGACAGCUGUUUCCAUCCAUUUAGCUUUUCUGCUUACUUCCACAUUCCCAGCUGUGUUCUGGAUGGCUGGGCCGGCCAGAAGCCUAGGGAUUUACUGUACUUCUAUUUCUUGAUAAGAUACUUGAAGAGAAUAAACACAUGGCAAAGAGGACAUUAAAGUAAGGGAUAAAGAGACUUUUUAAAAUUUUACCAAUAAAGAGAGAGGGAAGAAAUAGCACCGAGCACGCUGACACUUAAUCAAUAAACAACAGCAAGGCUGGAUUCCUUUCUAAUUCUCUCCAAAGUACUCUCAGUGUCCUAGGCUUAUAUCUCUACCCUCGGCAAAGCAUCCCUGGUUAUGGCACAGACUUGCACCUUGAUUCAAAAAUAGUUUUCCCCAAGUUGCACAGACCUUCCUCUUAAAACCAAGUCGGCCAAAAUGAAAACAAGCACACACUGAGUCUAAAGGAAGGCGCUCUCCGGAGAUAACACUGGUGCGAAGUUCAUCGGAAAAUUGAGAAAUCCCAGACUCUCGGGGAUGGAAAGGGUUUCAGAGACCAUCCUCUAGGGUGGUGGUUCUCAGCCACGGCUGCUCGUGAGAACCACUGAGGGGCUUUGAAAAAAAGGACCAUUAACCUGGCCCCACUGCCAGGCAUUAGUGGACUUUUAAGAGCUGUCCAGGUGGUUCUAAAGCGUAGCCGGGAUUGAGAAUCCAGUAUUCCAACAACCCCACUCCCACGGUUCAAAUGAAGGACCAAGAGCCUCACCAAAGAUAUCAGACAACUCACGGGUCAUGGAGCUAGGCUAGAGCUGCUCUUACCAAGAAACCAUGGCCUCUCCAGGUAACCUCCUCCAUCUGGGACAGUGGCGUUUCCUGUUUCUCCCCCGUGUCCCAUCAUUUCCUCUUUUCAGUACAACAGUAUCCGCACUCAUCCGGAGUAAAUGCAUCUUCUGCAUACACUGUGCUGCGGAAGGCCACUGCAUCAUUCUUGAAAAUCUCACCUAGCUCUGACUGUUUGCCUGGAGCCCCCUGGCUUCUUUUCUAGUUCCCCUCCAUGAACUCUGGAGGGUUAAUGGGACAUGGCUUCCCCUUCAAGAAGCCCCACUGCUCUUCCUCCGAGAAGCUGGACUCAGCUCACACUCUGCGCCGAUAUCAUCACAUGGGCCCUCUUACAAAUCCCUGGCAAGGUUCACCUCCGAUUCCCUUUCAGGGCACUUAACUUCUAGUUUGUACCUGCCCUGCCCUACACCUUGUGGACUUCCCUCUUUUCCUGGCUUCAACUCUUUCCAUUUAGUGAAAGAUGCCUUUUUCCCUGAGCAGCCUCUUUCACUCUGCCAGUUAGUCAUGCCCGGUUCUUUUUUGCUUCCCUCAAGCAGCUGGUCUUUUUGAUGUCUGGCACACAUUGAUCUGGGCUUCCAAUAAGAUGUUUUUACAUAGUUUGCAGGUUUCCUGGAGGUCACUGACUUUUGUAACUCUCCCAUUCAAAUUUUUCCCCCUAAUUUCUAACAUUUGUUAAGAGUUUCUUUUUCAAGAGUUGAAUACCUGGCUGAUGGAUCGCUUUGAUUUUUCACUCCCACCAGAUUGCUGAAUGAAAUGCAUCAGAACUUAAAUAUAAUAUUUCCAAUUACCUCCAGAACGGAAUCGCUUUGUUACACUUUCAUGUUCUGUAUGGUAAGCAACAGAUGUUUAAGCGCAUGGAGUUGAAAAUGCUACCUUUAACCUGCUCGUAUUUUUAGUGUGUCUCCCUACAGAAGGUAUCCUGCUAUCCUUAUGAAGCCUGUGUUCUUCCCUUGGGAAAGACGGGCAAGGUACGACUUUUAAAAAGGUCACUCGUGUGCACUGAACAGUGCUGUCUGCUGAAUCUCAGGUGUUAAAUUACUCUUCUACAUUGGCCCUAAAUUGCCGAAUCACAAACGUCUCAGCUGUUUGUUUCUUAAAGAAGUGUAUCAUCUCAAAGCAGGAAGAAAGCAGAAUUGAGAAUCCUUCUGGAAAAUUCCUGUAGCACUCGGUUAUUAAUGAAGUGGUAAAGACAAGUUCUCCCCCAAAGAAUAAAAACAUUCUCCAAGUUAUAACAACAUUUCUAGGAGAUUUACUUGAAAUUUAUUUCACUUCAGAAUGUUUAGACCCAAAAGCCUCCCAGGAGAGCAAGGCCGGGGAAUGACAAUCUAUCAGCAAGGCAGUCUAAUCCCAUUCCUCCUGCCAGAGGAUGCGAUAGAAUUGUCUAUGUCAUCCCCCCACUUGUUGAACAAAUACUGCACUGCGCCAGGGCACUUGGUACUACUGGGCACACAAAACGCCAGGAGCUGCCAUCUGCCCUCAGCCUGCCCACAGCCAAGGCGAGAAGACACCCAAGGGCCUGCUCAUGCGAUUCACCAUGAGACAACGAUCAUGGAUCCGAAUCAAGCUGGGUGGGAGGUGGCGGGUGGGGGGGUAGAUUUGGAGGAAGAGGGCACAUUCCCCUGGGGCGUUCAGAAGUGACUCCCAGAAACCACCUUCCCUGCCUUACCGUCCCUGUGCCUCACCAGCCCUUCAUUCGCAGCACCCCUUGUUAAUCUUCCUGAAAGAGCGAUGGCAUCCCGUCCUCAGAAACUAUCCUUGGCUCCCUAUGACCCAGGAAAGACCAUUUCAUUCCUCCUCCUGUUAACAUGGGAUGGACUGGGAGGCGGGUUAAUAGAUGCAAACUGCGCUGCUGGGACCGUGGUGGAGGCCGGCGGCUACAGCUCCGCUUGAACCCCGAGCCUGAGAACCUCCAUAUGCCGCAGGUGCAGCCCUAAAAAGCAAAAAAUAAAAUAAAAUAGAUGCAAACUCUUGCAUUUAGAGUAGAAAAGCAAUGAGAUCCUGCUGUAUAGCACAGGGAACUAUAUCCAGUCAUUUAUGAUGGAACAUGGUGGAGAAUAAUGUGAGAAAGAGAAUAUAUGUGAGCGUGUGUGUGACUAGGUCACUUGUGCUAGACAGUAGAAAUUGACACAACACUGUAAAUCAACUGUAAUGGAAAAAAUAAAAAUCAUAAAAUAAAAAAACUUUUAAAAGGUUGUCUACUACACUAUACAGAUUGUCUACACUCUGCCUGCAAAGGACAGGAUUGGAUCCUGCUUACUACAGUCAUCAGAACAGCACCACGGGAGUUGCCCGGUGGUGCAGUGGGUUAGGGAUCCGGUGCUGUCACCACAGAGGCUCAGGUUACUGCUGUGGCACAGGUUCCGACCCUGGCUGGGAACUUCCAUAUGCAAUGGGCACGGACAAAAAAAAAAAAUCAAUCAAUCAAUCAAUUAAUUAAAAGAAUACAUCCCUUUCAAUCUCAGUUUCCUAAUCUGUAAAGUGGGGGUGACGAUGUAUACUCAUUCUGAUUUCAUAUGGUUUUGCUGUGGACUUUAAAUAUCAAUUUUAGGACCAGGCCCAGGGAAAGCACUUAAAUAAUUACUCGCUCUUUUCAUGAGGAAAAAUGCUUUUUAGGGGAACCACCUAAGUGCUAAACCAGUUAAUGUUGUUGGGGAGCCAGAGACUCACUUCCAGCUGAGGUGAACCCUGAAGUUGUUUCCCUUGAUGAGAUAAAAAAAAACAAACUCCGUUCACCUCACACCAGUCAGAAUGGCCAUCAUCAAAAAGUCUACAAUCAAUAAAUGCUGGAGAAAGGGGAACCCUCCUACACUGUUGGUGGGAAUGGUACAACCGCAAUGGAGAACACUAUGGAAAUUCCUUAAACGCUAAAAAUAGAACUACCAUAUGAUCCAGCCAUCUCACUCCCGGGCAUCUAGCCCAGAGAAAACCGUAUUUCAAAAAGAUACAUGCACCUCAAUGUUCACUGCAGCACUAUUUACAAUAGCCAAGACUUGGCAACGACCUAAAUGUCCAUCAACAGAGCAAUGGAUAAAGACGACGUGGUAAAUGCAUACAAUGGAAUAUUACUCGGCCAGAAGAAAGGAGGGAAUGCCAUUUGCAGCAAUAUGGAUGGACCCAGAAAUGAUUAUACAGAGUGCGGUCAGAGAAAGACAAAUCAUGACAUCACUAAUAUGAGGAAUUUAAUUUUUAAAAGUUAUUAUUACAAAAUAAUUUACAGGACAGAAAUUGACUCAAAGAUUUAGAAACCAAACUUAGGGCUACCAAAGGGUGAACACGGCAGGGGGGAUAAAUUGGGAGGUUGGGAUUAACCUAUACACACUACUACAUAUGAUAAAAUAGAUAAGUAACAAGGACCUACGGCACAGCACAGGGGAAUCUACGCAAUAUUCUAUUAUUACCUAUAUGGGAAACGAAUCUGAAAAAGAGUGGAUAUAUAGAUUAUGUGUAACUAUUCACUUUGCUGUACACCUGAGACACUGUAAGCCAAGUAUAUGCCAAUAAGUUUUUUAAAAAUAAACUUUUUUAAAUUUCCUUUUUCAUUCCUCAGUCUAGUCUCCCAACUAAUCCUGAAAUUGCAUGCAACCCGGUAUGAGUCAAAUAAAAAAAGGAAAAGAGUAAUUACACCGAAUCAAACAUUUUAUAGUUGUAUGUUCUAACUAGAGCUUGAACUGCAGAUGCCAGGACGUUUACCAAGUUCUUUCUGGAGACUACCUAGGCGAUGGUUCCUAUAUUCCUUGAGGUAAUUUCUAUACUGGCAGGCCCUGUGGCUCAAUUAGAGCCUCUUCUCAAGGGAAACAGAGAGCCAAACCAACCCGUGCUUCCAACAGAAGAGAAAAACCACAAGUUCUCUGCAAAAUCCAACCACCUACUUCAAGUAGGGAAGAGGGAAUACGACUCAUGAAGACAUCGGCCAGGUCUUACAAUGAACAAUUGACGCAGUAUCACAAAAUAUUCCCACUUUUCCAACACACGAAAUCCUAACACAGCUUAUGUGAUCCCCAGAAUCCUUUCAGGUGUGCAUGCGAGCCUGCCUACGCUCACAGGUGCACUGCUCGUGAACGUGAAUGGGAACAGGGAAAAAACAAAAACAAAACGAAAAAAAAAAACAAAAACAACUCCAAAAUCACAACUGCGAUGCAAAGUUCUCCCUAGUAUCAUUCAAUGUCACUGUGGUAGGGCCCUUUGGCAAGCUCUAAGAAGGUUUCUAACUAAUGGCUUCGCUCUUCACGACAAUGUCAAACCAAGAUUAGAUUAAGAAUAAAAUGCCAAUUGUGUCAUAUCCUUUAUCCUGCCCUUAUGGAGCGAGGCACAAUGAGGGUAGGAUUUUACCACUUCCAGUUAUCACUGGUAUUAAUUUUACUAUUGAAUCCCCACUAGCGGGUUAGGACCCUAUUCCAAAUCCCCUCUCCCUUGAACUCCUGGUGCACGACCUUCUCUUCUGCAUCACUGGUGUGCUACUUAGCACACAGCAUGCUCUGUUCCAAUCGUGUGCGUGCGUGUGUGUGUGUGUGUGUGUGUGUGUGUGUGUGUGUACUCGCGGCUUAUCUCCCUACUACCCGGAAAAGUCCUGGCGGCCGAGGAGGCCCUCCUGUCCUUGCUGCCUCUCCCGGUGCUGAGCAUAGAAUGGUGCACACAGUAGGCGCUCCAAAAGAUCUGCCCAUUGAAAGCUGAACCAAAAAACCCUACGUUUUGUGUUCCAGAUCCCUCUUCAUCAUGGCAUCUGAGCCACCCGUUGUCAUUUGGUGAAGUACCAGGGUCCAGCAGAGAGGCAAGGCAGGACCUCAGCUGGAGGCCCUGUCAACAGGCGGUACUCCCUGACACCCUUGAGAGCACAUCAACUUAUCUUAAUUAUGAUCUGAAAAGACUUCGAGUCCUUAAGAACCUGGAGUGUGCUUAACGCCCAUUCAAGCUUCUGGAAGGCAAGUGCAAGGCCACGAGGAAUCAAACCUUCACCUUGGGGCUAAGCCUGGAGCUGGGCACCCAGACGCUGUGACCCUGGUGCCUGGAAAACAAUCUGGGAACUUAUACCCCCUCCGACCAAGGAAAGCGCCUGGCAAUUCACUCAGUCAAGUUGCUACAAUGACUCUGCUCUCCAAAAUGACCGAAAUUAUCUGAGUGGAGCCCAGGGAAGCCAAGGACAAUGUCGGCAUCUGGAGAGGCCAGGGUGAUGGUAAAGGAUUACCGCUGUUUCUAUACGGGCCGCCGAAAGGUAUUUACUUGGGUCUGUCUGUGUUGUGACAGUGUCCUAGACUCAAAUGAAUGCCUCUAACACUCCACAUUUUUGAGCCAUUCAGUCAUGCAUUUUUGUUAUUGUUGAAAGUGGUGCGAAAUCGCACUGCAUGAGCUAAAGUCCUUGGUGGUCUUCCAAGGAUUCCAGCUAAAAAGGCACUUCCUUUGUUCCUCGGGAGAAUGCAGUCCAGUAGGUCAUUCAAAAGGGGAAAUAAAAGCAGCAGCCCUGGGAGGGAGAUGAAGGACAAGACAAAAAGAAUAAAAUGUUUUGGGUGUGAGCACAUGAGCUUCCAUUUCCUGCUGC
RNAcentral lists this long non-coding RNA (7235 nucleotides) under Sus scrofa (pig). RNAcentral describes it as "lncRNA (ENSSSCG00015032281.1)". Lineage: Eukaryota; Metazoa; Chordata; Mammalia; Artiodactyla; Suidae. The record is from RNAcentral.